Molecule: long non-coding RNA, 457 nt
Organism: Ornithodoros turicata
Lineage: Eukaryota; Metazoa; Arthropoda; Arachnida; Ixodida; Argasidae
Exons: 3
Source: RefSeq, a predicted model, not a curated record
ACGAUGUUUCACUUUUCGACAUCUGUUUUCAUGCAGACCACCCAGAACACAUCGCCGUUAGGACAUCAGCAUGGAGGUCCUGCCAGGCAGACUCACUCCACAUCGCCUCAUACCAUUCAACUGAAGGCGAUAACCCAAGGACAACUCGCUGAGGACACUGCCCACUUUAGCGACACCUUCGUGUUCAUGGUAGACUCGUGUCAGACAAGUCAUAACUCACACAAGGGGACAAAGUGACAGAGUGCCGAUGACGUCCAUUCCUCAAAAGAAAUCGGAGCGGGAGCUUCAUGAACUCCUUGAACACGCAGACCUUCUCGAGUACUACGACAAAUUCAUCGAGAUAGGCGCAGACAAUGUGCAGCAGCUUCGUGACUUGACGGAUGAAGAGCUUCGAUAAGUCAUUGACCAGGUAGAGAUGACCAGGAAGCCCCUCCACGUGAAGACGUUCAGGAAAGCA